GACGAACGCUGGCGGCGUGCUUAACACAUGCAAGUCGAACGGAGCGAAUGAAAGCUUGCUUUUAUGAGCUUAGUGGCAAACGGGUGAGUAACACGUAGACAACCUGCCGACAGGAUGGGGACAACAUUCCGAAAGGAAUGCUAAUACCGAAUGAAGCGGAGGAGAGGCAUCUCUCUUCCGUGAAAGAUGGCCUCUUUUUAUGCUAUCACCUGUUGAUGGGUCUGCGUCUGAUUAGCUGGUUGGUGAGGUAACGGCUCACCAAGGCGACGAUCAGUAGCCGGUCUGAGAGGAUGAACGGCCACAUUGGGACUGAGACACGGCCCAGACUCCUACGGGAGGCAGCAGUGGGGAAUCUUCCGCAAUGGGCGCAAGCCUGACGGAGCAACGCCGCGUGAGUGAAGAAGGCCUUCGGAUCGUAAAGCUCUGUUGACGGGGACGAACGUGCGGAGUGCGAAUAGCGCU
This 462-nucleotide ribosomal RNA is filed under the name Centipeda dianae. Its description in RNAcentral is "bacterial SSU rRNA". It matches the Rfam family "Bacterial small subunit ribosomal RNA", at positions 28 to 468 of the family's 1533-position model. Lineage: Bacteria; Bacillati; Bacillota; Negativicutes; Selenomonadales; Selenomonadaceae. The record is from RNAcentral.